RNAcentral lists this ribosomal RNA (497 nucleotides) under uncultured bacterium. RNAcentral's name for it is "partial 16S ribosomal RNA". It matches the Rfam family "Bacterial small subunit ribosomal RNA", at positions 28 to 507 of the family's 1533-position model. The record is from RNAcentral.
GACGAACGCUGGCGGCGUGCCUAAUACAUGCAAGUUGAGCGCUGAAGGUUGGUACUUGUACCAACUGGAUGAGCAGCGAACGGGUGAGUAACGCGUGGGGAAUCUGCCUUUGAGCGGGGGACAACAUUUGGAAACGAAUGCUAAUACCGCAUAAAAACUUUAAACACAAGUUUUAAGUUUGAAAGAUGCAAUUGCAUCACUCAAAGAUGAUCCCGCGUUGUAUUAGCUAGUUGGUGAGGUAAAGGCUCACCAAGGCGAUGAUACAUAGCCGACCUGAGAGGGUGAUCGGCCACAUUGGGACUGAGACACGGCCCAAACUCCUACGGGAGGCAGCAGUAGGGAAUCUUCGGCAAUGGACGAAAGUCUGACCGAGCAACGCCGCGUGAAUGAAGAAGGUUUUCGGAUCGUAAAACUCUGUUGGUAGAGAAGAACGUUGGUGAGAGUGGAAAGCUCAUCAAGUGACGGUAACUACCCAGAAAGGGACGGCUAACUACGUG